Molecule: unclassified non-coding RNA, 430 nt
Filed under: uncultured Spizellomycetales
Lineage: Eukaryota; Fungi; Chytridiomycota; Chytridiomycetes; Spizellomycetales
Description: sequence contains ITS2
Rfam family: 5.8S ribosomal RNA (bases 1-154)
Source: RNAcentral
AACUUUUAACAACGGAUCACUAGGCUCUCGCAACGAUGAAGAACGCAGCGAAUUGCGAUAAGUAAUGUGAAUUGCAGAAUUCCGUGAAUCAUUAAAUCUUUGAACGCACAUUGCGCCUGUUGGAAUUCCGAUAGGCAUGUCUGUUUGAGAAUCAGUUUAAUUAUCACUCCUUAUUUGGGCAACCAAACUAGCGAGUGGAUUUGGGAUGCGUCUUGUAAAAGACCAACCUUGAAGACAUCUGUUGCUUUGACCAGUGUUUUAAGCACCUCGAAGGCAUGACCAAGAACGCAAGUUCAUUGAUUGCUGACAAGAGAUGUGGAAGAUGCUGUAAUGGGCCAAAAUUCUCACGAAAAGGGCAACCUUUUUAAGACUUGAUCUCAAAUCAGACAAGACUACCCGCUGAACUUAAGCAUAUCAAUAAGCGGAGGCU